RNAcentral lists this ribosomal RNA (861 nucleotides) under Streptomyces sp. RNAcentral describes it as "bacterial SSU rRNA". It matches the Rfam family "Bacterial small subunit ribosomal RNA", at positions 96 to 972 of the family's 1533-position model. The record is from RNAcentral. Lineage: Bacteria; Bacillati; Actinomycetota; Actinomycetes; Kitasatosporales; Streptomycetaceae.
UGAGCGACGGGUGAGUAACACGUGGGCAAUCUGCCCUUCACUCUGGGACAAGCCCUGGAAACGGGGUCUAAUACCGGAUAACACUCUGUCCCGCAUGGGACGGGGUUAAAAGCUCCGGCGGUGAAGGAUGAGCCCGCGGCCUAUCAGCUUGUUGGUGGGGUAAUGGCCUACCAAGGCGACGACGGGUAGCCGGCCUGAGAGGGCGACCGGCCACACUGGGACUGAGACACGGCCCAGACUCCUACGGGAGGCAGCAGUGGGGAAUAUUGCACAAUGGGCGAAAGCCUGAUGCAGCGACGCCGCGUGAGGGAUGACGGCCUUCGGGUUGUAAACCUCUUUCAGCAGGGAAGAAGCGAAAGUGACGGUACCUGCAGAAGAAGCGCCGGCUAACUACGUGCCAGCAGCCGCGGUAAUACGUAGGGCGCAAGCGUUGUCCGGAAUUAUUGGGCGUAAAGAGCUCGUAGGCGGCUUGUCACGUCGGAUGUGAAAGCCCGGGGCUUAACCCCGGGUCUGCAUUCGAUACGGGCUAGCUAGAGUGUGGUAGGGGAGAUCGGAAUUCCUGGUGUAGCGGUGAAAUGCGCAGAUAUCAGGAGGAACACCGGUGGCGAAGGCGGAUCUCUGGGCCAUUACUGACGCUGAGGAGCGAAAGCGUGGGGAGCGAACAGGAUUAGAUACCCUGGUAGUCCACGCCGUAAACGUUGGGAACUAGGUGUUGGCGACAUUCCACGUCGUCGUGCCGCAGCUAACGCAUUAAGUUCCCCGCCUGGGGGAGUACGGCCGCAGGCUAAACUCAAGGAUGACGGGGGCCCGCACAGCAGCGGAGCAUGUGGCUUAAUUUCGACGCAACGGCGAAGAAACCCU